GUAGGGAAUAUUGGGCAAUGGUCGGAAGACUGACCCAGCCAUGCCGCGUGCAGGAAGACGGCCCUCUGGGUUGUAAACUGCUUUUAUCUGGGAAAAAAAAGGCCAUGCGUGACAAAUUGCCGGUACCAGAUGAAUAAGCACCGGCUAACUCCGUGCCAGCAGCCGCGGUAAUACGGAGGGUGCGAGCGUUGUCCGGAUUUAUUGGGUUUAAAGGGUGCGUAGGCGGCUGAUUAAGUCAGCGGUGAAAGACUUCGGCUUAACCGGAGCAGUGCCGUUGAUACUGGUUGGCUUGAGUGUCGGAGGGGUACAUGGAAUUGAUGGUGUAGCGGUGAAAUGCAUAGAUACCAUCAGGAACACCGAUAGCGAAGGCAUUGUACUGGCCGACAACUGACGCUGAUGCACGAAAGUGUGGGGAUCGAACAGGAUUAGAAACCCGUGUAGUCC
This 444-nucleotide ribosomal RNA is filed under the name uncultured bacterium. RNAcentral's name for it is "partial 16S ribosomal RNA". It matches the Rfam family "Bacterial small subunit ribosomal RNA", at positions 354 to 796 of the family's 1533-position model. The record is from RNAcentral.